Molecule: ribosomal RNA, 440 nt
Filed under: uncultured bacterium
Lineage: Bacteria
Description: partial 16S ribosomal RNA
Rfam family: Bacterial small subunit ribosomal RNA
Source: RNAcentral
CCUACGGUGGACAGCAGUGGGGAAUAUUGCACAAUGUGGGAAACCCUGAUGCAGCGACGCCGCGUGCGUGAAGAAGUAUCUCGGUACGUAAAGCUCUAUCAGCAGGGAAGAAAAUGACGGUACCUGACGAAGAAGCACCGGCUAACUACGUGCCAGCAGCCGCGGUAAUACGUAGGGGGCAAGCGUUAUCCGGAUUUACUGGGUGUAAAGGGAGCGUAGACGGCAGCACAAGUCUGGAGUGAAAUCCCGGGACUUAACCCCGGAACUGCGUUGGAAACUGUGCGGCUGGAGUGCAGGAGGGGUAAGCGGAAUUCCUAGUGUAGCGGUGAAAUACGUAGAUAGUAGGAGGAACACCGGUGGCGAAGGCGGCUUACUGGACUGUAACUGACGUUGAGGCUCGAAAGCGUGGGGAGCAAACAGGAUUAGAUACCCGGGUAGUC